AUUGAACGCUGGCGGCAGGCCUAACACAUGCAAGUCGAGCGGAUGAAGGGAGCUUGCUCCUGGAUUCAGCGGCGGACGGGUGAGUAAUGCCUAGGAAUCUGCCUGGUAGUGGGGGAUAACGUCCGGAAACGGGCGCUAAUACCGCAUACGUCCUGAGGGAGAAAGUGGGGGAUCUUCGGACCUCACGCUAUCAGAUGAGCCUAGGUCGGAUUAGCUAGUUGGUGGGGUAAAGGCCUACCAAGGCGACGAUCCGUAACUGGUCUGAGAGGAUGAUCAGUCACACUGGAACUGAGACACGGUCCAGACUCCUACGGGAGGCAGCAGUGGGGAAUAUUGGACAAUGGGCGAAAGCCUGAUCCAGCCAUGCCGCGUGUGUGAAGAAGGUCUUCGGCUUGUAAAGCACUUUAAGUUGGGAGGAAGGGCAGUAAGUUAAUACCUUGCUGUUUUGACGUUACCAACAGAAUAAGCACCGGCUAACUUCGUG
This 484-nucleotide ribosomal RNA is filed under the name uncultured bacterium. RNAcentral describes it as "partial 16S ribosomal RNA". It matches the Rfam family "Bacterial small subunit ribosomal RNA", at positions 30 to 507 of the family's 1533-position model. The record is from RNAcentral.